GCCAGGCACAGUGGCAUGUGACUGUAGUCCCAACUACUCGGGAGGCUGAGGAUGGAGGAUCGCUCGAGUCCAGGAGUUCUGGGCUGUAGUGCACUAUGCCGAUCAGGUGUCCGCACUAAGUUCGGCAUCAAUAUGGUGACCUCAUGGGAGCGGGGGACCACCAGGUUGCCUAAGGAGGGGUGAACCAGCCCAGGUCACUAACAGAGCAGAUCAAAACUCCCAUGCUGAUCAGUAGUGGGAUCGUGCCUGUGAAUAGCCACUGCUCUCCAGCCUGGAAAACAUAGCUAGACCCCGUCUCU
RNAcentral lists this signal recognition particle RNA (299 nucleotides) under Saimiri boliviensis boliviensis (Bolivian squirrel monkey). RNAcentral describes it as "Metazoan signal recognition particle RNA (ENSSBOG00000001928.1)". It matches the Rfam family "Metazoan signal recognition particle RNA". From Rfam's summary of the family: The signal recognition particle (SRP) is a universally conserved ribonucleoprotein. Lineage: Eukaryota; Metazoa; Chordata; Mammalia; Primates; Cebidae. The record is from RNAcentral.